This 1152-nucleotide long non-coding RNA is filed under the name Salmo salar (Atlantic salmon). RNAcentral's name for it is "lncRNA (ENSSSAG00000107494.1)". Lineage: Eukaryota; Metazoa; Chordata; Actinopteri; Salmoniformes; Salmonidae. The record is from RNAcentral.
GGGAUGGAGGUUUGCCCUGGGGAUAUCAUUCACUAGCAGCAACAUUCCAGAACAUUGCAUCCAAAUGGAAUGUUUAGAACAGUUUUAUUUUUUGUGUUCCGCAUAAUAACACAAUGGAAUGUAUAGAGUUGAUAUGAUUGAUGCUCUGCAUAUGGAACAGAGAGAACCAUUCUAGUGCCAUACAUUCCUCAUCAGACUGGAGUGUUCCAGCCUACUGAACCUAUGCCUGGGUGUCCAUCUACCCUGCUGGCCUGGCUGGUGUCCAUGGAGACCACAGAACACUAAGAGGGAGAGGACACAUUUAGCUGGUUGUUUUCCCCCAGACAGAGUUCCUUUAGUACCGUAGACAGCAUUAUUAUUCUCAGUGCAGAGUAAGAUGUAGAUAUUUUCUGAGUAGAUUAAAGCACUAGGGGUAAAAGCGGUUCUUGGUUCCUUUGAUUAUUUUCAUGCCAAUCCAACACUACAAAUGGUCAGUCUCAGAAAAAUGUAAAUAGUUGUCUUGUAACCAGAUAUAGACCUAGAAUUGAUACAGGAAAUUAUGUGGGAGUGGAAUCCAAUGGGAAUGUGGGACUAAAGAGGGGCGGAGCAUAAAAUUAAAUUAGCAAGAUUUGAAUGAGUGCAAAGACCAGAUUGAUUCUAGUUGCUAUUUUAAAAAAUAAUUGAAAAAAAGCAAAUGUAACUAUAUACAAGAUAAAUAUUUGUUAAUUGUAAUGGUUUUAUGUAUUUUUCUUUUUAUAUUUUAUGAUUUGGGUUUAUUCGUCUUGCAGGUAUUGUGGGUGAACACAUAUGCAAUCGGUUUAUUUUUUAAUUGAGAAACAUUUAUGGUUUAUAUAUUUUAAGUAAAGAUAAAACAAGCAAAACACAAUGUAAAAUCAAUAUUACGUUCCACAUGGUCCCCUAUUCCCAAUAUAGUACACUACUAAAUGGCCUGAUAUGGCUAUGGGUGAAAAGUAGUUAACUAUAUAGGGGGGCCAUUUAGGAGACAGUCCAACUCUCAAUUUCUGUCAUCAGUUUAUUAUUGGAACGCUGAUCUAAAAUGUGAUUCUGGGUGAAAACCUUAAUCUCUAAUUCUAUGCCUUGGCUCUUAAUGUUGCACAUUUCUCUCAUGAAUGGAAUUUGUAACAAGCAAUACGGUUUAUAAUUAAAAAGUGC